RNAcentral lists this transfer RNA (84 nucleotides) under Marmota monax (woodchuck). RNAcentral describes it as "tRNA.Ala". Lineage: Eukaryota; Metazoa; Chordata; Mammalia; Rodentia; Sciuridae. The record is from RNAcentral.
GCGUAUCUCAGUGGUAGAGCACAUGCUUAGCAAGUGUGAGGGUGUUUAGUAUAUGUGAAGUCCUGGGUUCAAUUCCCAGCAGAA